RNAcentral lists this non-coding RNA (23 nucleotides) under Arabidopsis thaliana (thale cress). Lineage: Eukaryota; Viridiplantae; Streptophyta; Magnoliopsida; Brassicales; Brassicaceae. The record is from RNAcentral.
UAUCAUUUCAGUGAGCAUAUACC